CAGCCGCCACGGUAAUACGAAGGGGGCUAGCGUUGUUCGGAAUUACUGGGCGUAAAGCGCACGUAGGCGGAUAUCUAAGUCAGGGGUGAAAUCCCAGAGCUCAACUCUGGAACUGCCUUUGAUACUGGGUAUCUUGAGUAUGGAAGAGGUGAGUGGAAUUCCGAGUGUAGAGGUGAAAUUCGUAGAUAUUCGGAGGAACACCAGUGGCGAAGGCGGCUCACUGGUCCAUUACUGACGCUGAGGUGCGAAAGCGUGGGGAGCAAACAGGAUUAGAUACCCCCGUAGUCCCUGUCUCUUAUAC
RNAcentral lists this ribosomal RNA (301 nucleotides) under uncultured bacterium. RNAcentral's name for it is "partial 16S ribosomal RNA". It matches the Rfam family "Bacterial small subunit ribosomal RNA", at positions 509 to 807 of the family's 1533-position model. The record is from RNAcentral.